RNAcentral lists this non-coding RNA (82 nucleotides) under Marinobacter sp. Its description in RNAcentral is "c-di-GMP sequence". It matches the Rfam family "c-di-GMP-I riboswitch aptamer". Rfam says of the family: GEMM was predicted in a large-scale screen for bacterial structured RNA regulatory elements. Genes associated with GEMM are involved in a diverse array of functions, including chemotaxis regulation, signal transduction, secretion and chitin. RNAcentral also lists the same sequence under 1 other name. The record is from RNAcentral. Lineage: Bacteria; Pseudomonadati; Pseudomonadota; Gammaproteobacteria; Pseudomonadales; Marinobacteraceae.
CUGACCAGCAGCCAAACCAUUUGUGAGGAUGGGACGGAAAGCCAAGGGUCUCCGAAGGAAAAGAGACAGCCUGGUUGCCAAG